RNAcentral lists this ribosomal RNA (253 nucleotides) under uncultured bacterium. RNAcentral describes it as "partial 16S ribosomal RNA". It matches the Rfam family "Bacterial small subunit ribosomal RNA", at positions 524 to 776 of the family's 1533-position model. The record is from RNAcentral.
UACGGAGGAUGCAAGCGUUAUCCGGAAUGAUUGGGCGUAAAGCGCACGUAGUCGGCUUUGCCAGUCGGUUGUGAAAUCCCCGGGCUCAACCUGGGAACUGCAUCCGAGACUGCAUUGCUAGAGUAUGGGAGAGGAAAGCGGAAUUUCUGGUGUAGCAGUGAAAUGCGUAGAUAUCAGAAGGAACAUCAGUGGCGAAGGCGGCUUUCUGGACCAAUACUGACGAUCAGGUGCGAAAGCGUGGGGAGCAAACAGG